Molecule: unclassified non-coding RNA, 210 nt
Filed under: Hevea brasiliensis (rubber tree)
Lineage: Eukaryota; Viridiplantae; Streptophyta; Magnoliopsida; Malpighiales; Euphorbiaceae
Source: RNAcentral
CACCAGUUACCACAAUAUCAUCCAUAUUAGUGUUAUCAAGGCAAAAUGCGACACUAAGACAACAAGGGACCUUACAGCCUUAGUCGAGAGGCGAGAGGCUAGGCGAGGCCUUUUCAAAGCAAGGCGCCAUAGUCUAAAUUACCUAAAUUAUAUGUGUGUGUGCUUCUAACAUAUUAACAAAUUAAAUAAUAAAUUAAAUAACUAAUUAAC